GUAGAAGACGAGUUUGAUAGACAGCGGGUGUAAGCACCGAGGUUCGCCGAGGUGUUCAGCCCAGCUGCACUAACCCCCCGAGCAUCUAAAUUU
This 93-nucleotide ribosomal RNA is filed under the name Candidatus Thalassarchaeaceae archaeon. RNAcentral's name for it is "partial 23S ribosomal RNA". It matches the Rfam family "Archaeal large subunit ribosomal RNA", at positions 2895 to 2987 of the family's 2987-position model. Lineage: Archaea; Methanobacteriati; Thermoplasmatota; Candidatus Poseidoniia; Candidatus Poseidoniales; Candidatus Thalassarchaeaceae. The record is from RNAcentral.